CCCAGGUCUAGGCGAGGGAUGGAAAUAAGGACAGUGCCACUAGGGCCUCCUGUCUGUACAGGAGGGGCCCUGAGACAGCUCCUCAAACCCCUUUCCCAUUAUACGGAUGGUGCAGAUGGGGACACUGAGGUACAGAGAGACAGUCAGUUGUCCUCAGAAUUGGAUCCAGAACCUCGUCUUCUGGCAUGGCCCCCCAGUGCAGCACCACAUGUGGCCUCCGAAUUCCCAGUCUGGGAUUGGGGGAGCUCUGGUCCUUGGGGGACCACCAUGCUCUUUUGGAGUUGUCAACUUGGUAGGAACCCUCUGGUUCCAACGCUGUGCCUUUGCGGCCCUCUCCUGGCAUCUGCUGUCCCUUUAGGAGGUCCUACCACCCUUUUCUUCUGAGCCUGGACAACUCCUUCCCUUGCCCCCAGGAGCCCACAGCCGGCUAAACCAACUGGUCAGCUAGAACCAACCAGCAGGGGAGGUGCGCUCCAGGGGGGCUUCUAAGAGGAGGCAGUUUUGGAGUCAGAGGUGAAGUGUGGGGAGUGGGAUUGGGUGAUAGGGAAGUUUCUCCAGCAAAGACACUGGGCAAGCCUCUUCCUUGGCCCCCAGAUAAAGGGCUGCAGGGUGGUCUCCGUGUAAGAGGGUGGGGCUCUGCCCUCUGUCAGGCCCUUCCUGGCCCUCCGAGCACAGGAGAGGCCCUGGCUCCACCUGUGUCUUGCUUCCCUGACUUCCUCCCACCUCUACAUUCUAGCCUGGGGCAGAAGUAGGGUGGAGGGGUGGGUCUAGCCUCCUUGAUGACACAGUUGGGGUUGGAGGUGGGGGCUACCCCUAUUCUGGGCCUGGUGCUGUCCCUGAAGUCAGGGGUCAGCCUCACACCGAGCUCUCUGCCAAAACCCCGGAUCACAAGCAUGAGCUCCAGCAGGUCCGCUUGAGUGAACACCGCUGAUCCUGCCUGCAGGGGUAUAGGCCUGGGGCCUGCCAGCCGUCCGCACUGUCUGUGGGGUGUUUUGGGUUGCAGGUUCCAUGUCCUGAAGCAGGAGAGCCCUCCCCAUGCCACCUCCUCUGCCCAGCCUCUUAGGGACAGUGCCUGGGAUGCCCUGGCUGGAGUGAGGACUGGGGUGUGCUUUCAGCCCAUAGCUGGCCCUGGGCAUAAAGGCAUCUGCUGUGGUGCUGCAGCCAAGGCCAGGCUGUGCUCUGUGCUUGUGUCGGGGAGCCCUUGGCAGUGGCCACCCCACAGGUGGCUUUUUAUUCCCUCCUGCUGCUGAGUGUCACGCGUGGGGCUGAGGGCCUGCACGCCUUCCCGGCCUCAUCCUCUCCGACGAUUCACGCCCUCCUAAGGCUGGCAGGAUAGGAGCCAUGCUCCCCUGGGGUGGCUCUGGAACGUGGGCCCCGUGCACAGGCUAUGUAGUCUGCUCACACCCUUGCUGCCUGCCACCCGGGCACCCAGGACUUGAGCCCAGACCCUGGCCACCCUGUUGUUGUGGGAGUAUUAGGGGAAGUUGCCACUAAGGCUGGCAGGUCCUGGAGUUCCACCCAGGAUGGGGACAUGGGGGAGGGAAGAGGAGGUGCCCCUCAGAGCCUGAGGCCAGGACCAAGUGGGGUGAUCAGGACCCCUCCAGGUGGGUCCCGGGUGCGGAUGGCCAGUUGGGCGCAUGCUUAUUGGGCCUGCAUCCGUUGGCCACGGAGGCUCUUUGGGACAAGCAAAUAGAAUGCCCCAGAAAUAAACUUGGCCCAAGUUUGUGAUGGUUCUGGGUAUGAAAGAAGUCAGUGUUUCCCAAGUGCCUGCUAUGUGCGAGGCUCUGUGCUGGGGCGGGUGCAUGUGUGCGUUGGGGGCGUGGACAGGAGGGGUGGGAAAGGCCUGUGACAUUUCCUCUGGUGGUUUCCACGAACCCAGGCGUCACCCCUCGGUGGAGAUAAAGUGGAGCCACCCAGCUCCACCGUGUCUCAGCCUGGGGUCGGCCUCUGCUGCUUCUGGACUCAGUGACCCUGGGCUGUCAGGGAGCUUCUGAGCCUUGGUUUUCCUGUCUAGUAAGAUGGAGGUAAUCGUGUCUUAUGGGGUUGUUUUGAGGGUUAAAUGAGCUGGUGGCUGUGUGGGAAAGAGCUCUGCCUCCCGCAGGGAGGAACUGUGCUGUUCUUAUUAUUGUGAACUUAGUGACAAGUGUGGCACUAUUACCCAUUUCCUUGUCUGCCCCCAACCCUGGGGUCUUGGGCAGAGAACAGGAGUUCUUGCCAUUUUCUCCCAGCUCCCACCUUGUGCUGGCUUGCGGGUGCUGAGGUCAUAUUUGCUGGGUGAAAGGGUGCAGGCCAGAUAUGAGCCAGGCCUGGCAGAGAGGGUUUUGGUCAGCAGUGAUACCUGCAGUGUUCUCUGCAGUUGGUUUGGGCUGGCCCUGCUCCUGAGAACUCCUGGGUUGUCCCUUCAGGCAACCAGGGAAGGCUCCUUGGAGCAGCAGCAUCUCCCCUUACCACUCGCCGACACCAGCUUCCGCCUGACCCAGAGAAGGAGUUUGGGGACAGCCACAGCACGUCCAGGGCUCCCAAGGCAGCUGGCAGAGCCAAUGAGGAGACCCCAACACCCAUCCGACGGCUGCAGCUCUCCCUGACGUGUGUCACCCGCAGCCCUGGUCCCAGCCGCUGUGCUUCUCAGGGCCUGCCUGCCCAGCCCGGGUGGAUAUGGUGCCCAGGCGGGCCCCGGGGACACAAUGAGGGCCAUUCUCAGAGCCAGGCAGAGCGUGUGGGGCAGUCCUGUCAGUCCUAUGUGCAACAGCUGGGAUAUUGUUUAGGGAGUGCUGGCAUCAGGCUGGGGCUCUCCUCCUCUGGCCCUGCCCUUUGGGAUGAGCAAGCCCCCAAAGGCCUUCCUGGGUUCCUCUGGUGCACGUGCCCUGGAGUUACCCUUCUGAAGGAGGUAGACUUGUCCUCCUGUCCUGGGUGCCUGGGGUGCAGGGGUGUGAAUUGGGCUAUGUCAAGAUAUGCUGGGCAGUACUGUGAGGUGGGGGCAGAGGGGAGAAGGUGUCCCAGGAGGAGCCUUCCUGGAGGGGAUGAUAGUCCAGCAUGUUCUGAAGUGGGAGUAGGGUGCGGCAGGAGUAGGGUACCAGAGAAUGAGUGAGUCAGGCAGCAGCCUCCACUGCGCCUUGGACACAGGUGGCUGACAGUGUCCACCUGGACUGGCUUUGCACCCCUUCUGAGGUCACAGUUGUGUCCCUUGAAAACUUGGGCAGGAGCACCUGACUGGCCCAGCUUGGGUCAUGCCCUAGGCCCAGCAGUGCGGGAGGCCAGGAAAGUAGGCUUGGGGAGGCUGGCCUCUCCUCCAGUUUGAAGCAUGGCAGGGGUUCCGGGGGAGGCUGCUGGGGGGCCUGCGAGCAUGUCCAGAGCAGGAAUGCUUGGGGUGGUGUGUGCUUUGCUCGUCUGGGCUUAUCUGGCCGUGGGGAAGCUGGUUGUGCGGAUGACGUUCACUGAGCUGUGCACGCAUCAUCCAUGGAGUCUGCGGUGUGAGUCCUUUUGCCGCUCCAGGGUCACAGCCUGCCUCCCUGCUCCAGCCCCCUGGCUGAGGCCCUUCCUCUGCCCCAUGCUCUUCUCAGACAGGAAUCCUGUGGAAUGUCAUCUCUUUGGGGAGGCCGUCUCUGACCCUGUAUGCAAAGGCCUUCUCCCACAUUAUUUUUGGCACCCCACUUUCUUCCCCGUGAAAGCAAAUUGUUUGGUGUCUUUCUGUCCCACUACAGUAUAGGCCCGGUUCAGACAGAGGCCUUGUCCACUAGGCCUGCGCUAUCUCUGCGGAGCCCAGCCAAAGCAGGGGCCAGGCGAAUCUUUUGUUAAAAGAACAAUGCGCGCUGGGCACAGUGGCUCACGCCUGUAAUCCCAGCACUUUGGGAGUCCGAAGCUGGAGGAUCACUUGAGCCCAAGAGUUUGAGACCACCCUGGGCAACAUAAGGAGAACCCAUCUCUACACAAAAUUAGCUGGGCGUGGUGGUGUAUGCCUGUAGUCCUAGCUACUUGGGAGGCUAAGGUGGGAGGUGGCUGAGGUGGGAGGAUCACUUGAGCCUGGGAGGUUGUUGCAGUGAGAGCCAUGAUCGCGCUACUGGGCAAUAGAGCAGAACCCAGUCUC
Molecule: long non-coding RNA, 4084 nt
Filed under: Homo sapiens (human)
Lineage: Eukaryota; Metazoa; Chordata; Mammalia; Primates; Hominidae
Description: long non-coding RNA NONHSAT174052.1
Source: RNAcentral